This 758-nucleotide ribosomal RNA is filed under the name uncultured Sebacina. Its description in RNAcentral is "partial 28S ribosomal RNA". It matches the Rfam family "Eukaryotic large subunit ribosomal RNA", at positions 216 to 962 of the family's 3401-position model. The record is from RNAcentral. Lineage: Eukaryota; Fungi; Basidiomycota; Agaricomycetes; Sebacinales; Sebacinaceae.
GAAUCCCGUCUUUGACACGGACUACCAGUGCUAUGUGAUGCGCUCUCGACGAGUCGAGUUGUUUGGGAAUGCAGCUCAAAAUGGGUGGUAAAUUCCAUCUAAAGCUAAAUACAGGCGAGAGACCGAUAGCGAACAAGUACCGUGAGGGAAAGAUGAAAAGCACUUUGGAAAGAGAGUGAAACAGUACGUGAAAUUGUUGAAAGGGAAACGCUUGAAGUCAGUCGUGCCCUUUGGGAUUCAGCCUUGCUUCUGCUUGGUUUACUUCUCUUUGGGUGGGUCAACAUCAGUUUGGGUCGGAGGAGAAAGACUUGGGGAAGGUGGCAGCAUUCGUGCUGUGUUAUAGCCCCUUGUUGUAUACUUCGAUUUGGACUGAGGACCGCAGCACGCCUUUGGCCGGGGCUCGCCCACGUACGUGCUUAGGAUGUUGGCAUAAUGGCUUUAAGCGACCCGUCUUGAAACACGGACCAAGGAGUCUAACAUGCCUGCGAGUGUUCGGGUGGAAAACCCGUGCGCGCAAUGAAAGUGAAAGUUGGGACCUCUGUCGUGGAGGGCACCGACGCCCGGACCAGACCUUCUGUGACGGCUCUGCGGUAGGGCAUGUAUGUUAGGACCCGAAAGAUGGUGAACUAUGCCUGAAUAGGGUGAAGCCAGAGGAAACUCUGGUGGAGGCUCGUAGCGAUUCUGACGUGCAAAUCGAUCGUCAAAUUUGGGUAUAGGGGCGAAAGACUAAUCGAACCAUCUAGUAGCUGGUUCCUGCC